RNAcentral lists this transfer RNA (85 nucleotides) under Felis catus (domestic cat). It matches the Rfam family "tRNA". Rfam says of the family: Transfer RNA (tRNA) molecules are approximately 80 nucleotides in length. Their secondary structure includes four short double-helical elements and three loops (D, anti-codon, and T loops). The record is from Rfam by way of RNAcentral. Lineage: Eukaryota; Metazoa; Chordata; Mammalia; Carnivora; Felidae.
GCCUGGGUGGCUCAGUCGGUUAAGCAUCUGACUUCGGCUCAGGUCAUGAUCUCAUGGUUCAUGGGUUCGAGCCCCAUGUCGGGCC